Molecule: ribosomal RNA, 208 nt
Filed under: uncultured bacterium
Lineage: Bacteria
Description: partial 16S ribosomal RNA
Rfam family: Bacterial small subunit ribosomal RNA
Source: RNAcentral
UGUGUAGGCGGUUGUGUUAGUCUUUCGUAAAAGCCCGUGGGCUUAACCCAUGGAAUGCGGCAGAAACGGCACGACUUAGAGGAUGCGAGAGGUAUAUGGAACUCAUGGUGUAGGGGUGAAAUCCGUUGAUAUCAUGGGGAGCACCAAAAGCGAAGGCAAUAUACUGGCGCACUCCUGACGCUGAGACACGAAAGCGUGGGAAUCAACG